Molecule: ribosomal RNA, 396 nt
Filed under: Bacillus cereus
Lineage: Bacteria; Bacillati; Bacillota; Bacilli; Caryophanales; Bacillaceae
Description: bacterial LSU rRNA
Rfam family: Bacterial large subunit ribosomal RNA
Source: RNAcentral
GUUAUAUGGUCAAGUGAAGAAGCGCAUACGGUGGAUGCCUUGGCAGUCAGAGGCGAUGAAAGACGUGGUAGCCUGCGAUAAGCUUUGGGGAGUCGGCAAACAGACUGUGAUCCAGAGAUCUCUGAAUGGGGGAACCCAGCCAGCACAAGCUGGUUAUCUUGUACUGAAUACAUAGGUGCAAGAGNCGAACCAGGGGAACUGAAACAUCUAAGUACCCUGAGGAAAAGAAAUCAACCGAGAUUCCCUUAGUAGUGGCGAGCGAACGGGGACGAGCCCUUAAGUUGAUUUGAGAUUAGUGGAACGCUCUGGAAAGUGCGGCCAUAGUGGGUGAUAGCCCCGUACACGAAAAUCUCUUGUCAAUGAAAUCGAGUAGGACGGAGCACGAGAAACUUUGUC